Molecule: non-coding RNA, 68 nt
Organism: Podarcis lilfordi (Lilford's wall lizard)
Lineage: Eukaryota; Metazoa; Chordata; Lepidosauria; Squamata; Lacertidae
Source: the annotation of a GenBank genome assembly
GCUGGGAUAGCUCAGUUGGUAAAGCCUGAGACUCUUAAUCUCAGAGUCAUGGUCAAAUGUUUCCUGCA